This 1224-nucleotide non-coding RNA is filed under the name Rosa chinensis. Its description in RNAcentral is "sRNA RchiOBHm_CPg0502191". The stretch from base 1 to 531 matches the Rfam family "Group I catalytic intron". The record is from RNAcentral. Lineage: Eukaryota; Viridiplantae; Streptophyta; Magnoliopsida; Rosales; Rosaceae.
CUACGGACUUAAUUGGAUUGAGCCUUGGUAUGGAAACCUACCAAGUGAUAACUUUCAAAUUCAGAGAAACCCUGGAAUUAAAAAUGGGCAAUCCUGAGCCAAAUCCCGUUUUAUGAAAACAAACAAGGUUUCAGAAAGCGAGAAUAAAUAAAGGAUAGGUGCAGAGACUCAAUGGAAGCUGUUCUAACAAAUGGAGUUGGCUGCAUUGUGUUCGUAAAGGAAUCCUUCCAUCGAAACUUCCGAAAGGAUGAAAGAUAAACCUAUAUACAUAUGUAUACUUACUGAAAUACUAUCGCCAAACGAUUAAAAAUGAUUAAUGAUGACUCCAACCGGUUCUAUAAUUUUUUUCUAUCUAUUUAUAUGAAAAAUGAAAGAAUUUUUGUGAAUCGAUUCAAAAUCAAAAUUGAAAAAUGAAAUAAAUAUUCAUUGAUCAAAUCAUUCACUCCAUCAUAGUCUGAUAAAUCUUUUUUUUUAGAAUUGAUUAAUCGGAUAAGAAUAAAGAUAGAGUCCCAUUCUACAUGUCAAUAUCGACAACAAUGAAAUUUAUAGUAAGAGGAAAAUCCGUCGACUUUAGAAAUCGUGAGGGUUCAAGUCCCUCUAUCCCCAAAAAGACCUGGUUGCCUCCCUAAUUAUUUAUCUUCUCAUUUUAUUUUGUUAGUGACUCAAAAUUGGUUAUGGUUCGCAGUUAUUCUCACUCUACUAUUUCAUUCACAAACCGAUCUGAGCGGAAAUUUUUUUUCUUAUCACAUCAUAAGCCUUGUGUGUGAUAUAUAUGAUACGUGUACAAAUGCAAAUGAGCAUCUUUGAAUAAUGUAUUAAAUUAAAAUAAUUAACAAUCUAUAUCAUUAUUUGUAUUAUUUGUACUGUAUUGAAACUUACAAGGUUUUCUUUUUGAAGAUACAAGAAAUUCUACCAGGGCCUGGAUAAUACUUUGGAAUAUCUUUUCGUUUUUUAAUUGACAUAGACCCAAGUCCUAUAUUAAAAUAAAAUGAGGAUGAUGCGUCGUGAAUGGUCGGGAUAGCUCAGCUGGUAGAGCAGAGGACUGAAAAUCCUCGUGUCACCAGUUCAAAUCUGGUUCCUGGCACAUGAGUAAUUUGUAUGAGUAUAUAUUCGACAAAUUAAUUGAUAUGGGUCGACAUACAUAUUCAGUAUUCUAGUUAUAGAUCAUGAUACAUACUUAUCCAUCUAAGUGUCGGAGCUAUACCCCUUACUAAUUUAAUUAAG